AUGUCGAUCUCUUGGCCUCCUCUGCCUCGUGGCGCACCAGACCUUGGUCGUCCACCGUCUCCCCAUCCCCCAGUCCCUUCUGCGAUGUGCCUCAGAUCUUGGAGACGACCCACCGACGCGAUGCGUCCUACCCGGAGAAAUCGCCGGCGGUGCCAACUUGCGGCCAUCGCCUAUGUGGAAGGGUUCCAUGCUCUAGAGGAUUUGUUAAUCAAGUUUCGCCCAUGGAAAAUCAAUUUGCUGGAGCGCUCCUUUAUCCGUGUUGGACAGGGUGAAUUAGGGAGUAAUUGA
RNAcentral lists this ribosomal RNA (288 nucleotides) under Triticum aestivum (bread wheat). Its description in RNAcentral is "partial small subunit ribosomal RNA". The record is from RNAcentral. Lineage: Eukaryota; Viridiplantae; Streptophyta; Magnoliopsida; Poales; Poaceae.